RNAcentral lists this unclassified non-coding RNA (350 nucleotides) under plant metagenome. RNAcentral describes it as "partial contains 5.8S ribosomal RNA, internal transcribed spacer 2, and large subunit ribosomal RNA". The stretch from base 1 to 105 matches the Rfam family "5.8S ribosomal RNA", at positions 50 to 154 of the family's 154-position model. The record is from RNAcentral.
GAAAUGCGAUAAGUAAUGUGAAUUGCAAAAUUCAGUGAAUCAUCGAAUCUUUGAACGCACCUUGCGCUCCUUGGUAUUCCGAGGAGCAUGCCUGUUUGAGUGUCAUGGAAUUCUCAACUCUAUUUGCUUUUGUGAAUAGAGCUUGGAUUUGGAGGUUUAUUGCUGGUACUUGUGAUCGGCUCCUCUUGAAUGCAUUAGCUCGAACCUUUGCGGAUCAGCUAUCGGUGUGAUAAUUGUCUACGCCGUUGCAGUGAAGCAUAUCAAUGGGCUCGGCUUCCAAUCGUCCUUUACUGGACAAUGACUUUGACCUUUGACCUCAAAUCAGGUAGGAUUACCCGCUGAACUUAAGC